GACGAACCGUGCGAACGUUGUUCGGAUUCACUGGGCUUAAAGGGCGCGUAGGCGGGCCAUCAAGUCGGGGGUGAAAUCUUUCAGCUUAACUGGAAAAUAGCCUUCGAUACUGGUGGUCUGGAGGAAGGUAGGGGCAUGCGGAACUUCCGGUGGAGCGGUGAAAUGCGUAGAUAUCGGAAGGAACGCCGGUGGCGAAAGCGGCGUGCUGGACCUUUUCUGACGCUGAGGCGCGAAAGCCAGGGGAGCAAACAGG
RNAcentral lists this ribosomal RNA (253 nucleotides) under uncultured bacterium. Its description in RNAcentral is "partial 16S ribosomal RNA". It matches the Rfam family "Bacterial small subunit ribosomal RNA", at positions 524 to 776 of the family's 1533-position model. The record is from RNAcentral.